CAGCCGGGUCCGUAGGAUAACUAUUUUUCACGCCCGUUUACUGUUACCAGGUCGCCGUUGGGUGAUUGUGUCACUAGGCGCCCCAGCCCCCGGCCCCGGCCGCUUCCCGUCCAGUCCCCAUUCUUCUCUUCUCAUAUAUCCUCGCCAUUUCCCUUGAGCGAGAGAUUCCGGCGUGUUCCCCCGGCGGGCGAGCAAGAGCAAGGCCGCUCGGCGCACGGCUCCCCACCCAGUGAGCGUGGCUUCCGCGUCCUUCUGCUGUUGCCGCCCCGCCGCGCCGAUUUCCUCUGCUCCCGACCGUUCCUCCCUGCCUCUGUCCCCCAUCCAGGUGCUCGACAGCUCAGGCUCCUUCUUAUCCGCUCUCCUCUCCACCUCCCCUUGACGGUGGCUAUGGAUCUGCGCGAUCGCUUGGAGGCGACAAGCUCUUGUUGAACUCGUUCCCUUACAGGGAGAUCAAGAAUGACGUGCUCUGGGGGUUCGAGGGCAAAGGUGGUGCCUUACUGCACAGGCUGCAAGGCCGCACUUUCAAAAUUUAAGGCAGCAAUAGACUACAGGGUUGGUUAUUUGCUUCCUGGUUCAAAGGAACCGCACUUCUAGUUGCCCAACCAGCAUUCCUGCAACUGUUACAGACUACAAUAUGUCAAGUUUCUAAUAAUAGAUGACCCAUUAUUUUCACUUUCAUGAGGAUUCCACUCUGGAAUGAUAAACAACACUAACAUGAUAAAGGUAGACUUAUUACUAGCUUUUAUGUUGGUGUUUUUUUUCCAACUUGAUAUAUGUUAACGGGUUAAAAUAACAUCAUUUUCUUUGUUAUGUACCUUCUGUUUCGUGAUUAUAUUCUUUUUGUGGCUUCAAUUUUUGUUAACUUCUAAGAUUCUAUUUUUUUCGCAGACCAACAUGUUCUUAUUAGUUUCCUCUUAUUUCCUCUUAUGUUUUAAAUUACAUCCUAUUAGUUUCCAACGUGGAGUAACACGUGUCCCAUUUCCUCGAUUUGUCUGCAAAACAAUAUAUGAUAUGUACUGCUCUUUACAUGGUGUCUGGGGUCUUCACCUCCAGGCUGGAUAAAUUUUGAAUGUUGUAGUCUGCGAGGGUUGUGCCACCCUCCAGCUGCUUAAUGUGUUUCUUUUUUGUUUUUUGUCAAUAUGAGUACAAAAUGUUUUGUGUUGCAGUUGUAGUAUAUAUAUAAUGUGUAUGCGUGUGCGCAUGUGUGUGUAUGUGUGGAGGUAGCAGUGUAGAUAUUUGUUACAUCAUCAUAGUGUUUUUUUUAAUUUGUACACAACUUGACCAAACAUUUGUUUCUUGUUUUAGACUGAUAUCAUCGCUGUGAUUUUGUUGGUGCAUUCUCUGAUUCAUCCAUGAUAAAAAUCUGUGACCUUUAAGUAUGUGGGUUUCAAAUAUAAAAUCACAUAAUUGAUAUCCAACAUAAACUCUAUGACUUUUUUUAAUUUGGCUUAGCCUUUUAAUUUGGAUAAGUAUUUUGUAUAACUUUUUCUUAAUUAACAUGCAAACUUUUAAGCUUUGAUUCUGAUGGAAGUUAUACAUAAUUAUGGGAACUCUUUUCAAUGCUACAUCGUCAUAUAACUUUUUUUGGCCCCUUUUCUGUACUUCAUUAAUAGUUUAAAUUAAAAGUUUUCUUUUUUUGAUAAUUUGAUAUUUUGCCCCACGUUGUAUUUUUAAUUUUUUUGAGAUUAGAUCAUAUCGCCAUGUUUUUUAUUUUGGGAAAGGGUAAAUAUUAAUGUAGUAUGGGCAAUUACUGUGUAUUUUCUGAGAUGAGAUCAUCGAGCCAUAUUAUUUUAUUUAUAAAACAUUAACAUAGUAUGGAUGUGAAUCUUAUAUGGGCAAUAAGGCCAUUAGCUGGUUUGUAAAAUUUUGGCGCCGUCAAUCAGUGUACGUGCCAUUCUGGAUGUUUUAUGGCUUUUUUUUUUUGGAAUCUUUCUUCUUAUUAAUCACGUGGUGGGAAGUGCUGGUUCAGAAGGCUAAAGAUUGGUGGCUUAGAUGUGAUGCUGAAGAAUUGUGGCUUUGGACGCAAUUUAGAAUUUUGAUGUUUUUUGGAAUAGGCAUGAGCCCACCCCUGGAAAUUUAAGAAAAUCUUACAUGUAACUUUUUAUUUUCAGAUUGUAACUUUAGUUUUAGGGCAAAAUCUUGCUUAUGACUUUUUAUUUAGAAUUUUGAUGUGUGUUUUUUUUUGGAAUGGGCAUGAGCCCACUCCUGAAAACGUAAGAAAAUCUUACAUGUAACUUUUAAAUUGUUACAUGUAACUUUUUGUUUCGGAUUGUAACUUUAGUUUCAGGGUGAAAUCUUGCAAUAACUUUCUUUCUGGAA
Molecule: long non-coding RNA, 2319 nt
Organism: Panicum hallii
Lineage: Eukaryota; Viridiplantae; Streptophyta; Magnoliopsida; Poales; Poaceae
Exons: 3
Source: RefSeq, a predicted model, not a curated record